Molecule: long non-coding RNA, 1078 nt
Filed under: Homo sapiens (human)
Lineage: Eukaryota; Metazoa; Chordata; Mammalia; Primates; Hominidae
Description: non-protein coding LINC01013:24
Source: RNAcentral
AAAUUCUCACCUAAAGUUGAUACUAAUAUUACAAUAACUCUCUUGUGCCCUAUUUUGGUGUUUUAAACUUCUUUGCUGUACAUUUAAGAAAAUCAGAAUUUCAGUAGACUCCUCGUGCAGUCUGAGGAGGCAGUUUCCUAUCUGGUUUGACUUAAGGGGCUGCAGAAGACAUUCUUAUCCCACAUAUUUCUUCUGCUGAUCAGUCAGCAACUGAAAUUCCAACUAAUGGAUUCCAUUCUUCCAGUUAAGACAUCAUCUCCAGAAAACUGUGCUAGUUGGCAUCCAGCAGUGCCCAAGUAUUAUUUAACCCACUAGAACCUGUGACUGCAUCAGCUUUAUAUCCUGGACCUCAGCCUGGAACAAAGGAGAGCUACACUUGGAUACUAAACACAAGUGGUCUGGAUAGAUUAUGCUGGGAAAAGAAGCCUGGAGCAGGCAGUACAGUGGGAGAACAAGACAGAAGUGCUUGCCUUGGUGAUCCAAAAAAGGCAGGAUCCGGCCGGGGGCAAGGUGAUUAUUCUGUCUGAUGAGGAGAAUAAGAGCCAGUUUGUGGUAUUGACAGAAGAAUGAAAGUAAAGUUCAACCAAUCUACAAAGGCCAAAAAUAUUUUCACAGGCCCCCAAAAGAUGAACUCCAAUCUGCUGCCCCUAAACGCAUUCUCCACUGUCUGGAAGAUGUGCAAAGGCAACGGCACAGCGUUCUCCAUCUCAAAUCCUUCAAAGUGCUGUCAGAAUAAAAGAAUCCCCACCAAAAGCCCCAGGGAAAUCUAUCUGUCUGUAUGGUAUGGUAAUGACUGAGGUUAUUCCAGAUAGGAUUCUGGGAGAAACUCAGCUAUUGAAAUCUAAUGAAUGGAACUGAGAAUUUCUUGUUAUAAUACUGUUUGUUUGAUUGAAUAUAUCCUUGCAUAUAGGAAGACAUAAAAAUAAAUAAUAAAAGCAAGAUAUUAUUUGAAUUUUUGUUUGAUUAUAUAAUCUGAGAAUUUUUCUGGUAAGUAAUUUUGCAUCUGGAUUUAUUUUUUCUGCCAGUCACUUGCCUUUCUAGUUUUAUGUCAUUUUUAUCUCUUUCCUAUUUUAAUGUC